Molecule: transfer RNA, 84 nt
Filed under: Sulfurovum sp.
Lineage: Bacteria; Pseudomonadati; Campylobacterota; Epsilonproteobacteria; Campylobacterales; Sulfurovaceae
Description: tRNA-Leu
Rfam family: tRNA
About the family: Transfer RNA (tRNA) molecules are approximately 80 nucleotides in length.
Source: RNAcentral
GCCCGCGUGGUGGAAUGGUAGACACGUCGGAUUCAAAAUCCGAUGCUUUCGAGCGUGGCGGUUCAAGUCCGCCCGCGGGUACCA